UCCUGGCUCAGGAUGAACGCUAGCUACAGGCUUAACACAUGCAAGUCGCGGGGCAGCAUUUUCUUAGCUUGCUAAGGAAGAUGGCGACCGGCGCACGGGUGAGUAACGCGUAUCCAACCUUCCCAUGUCCACGGGAUAGCCCGUCGAAAGGCGGAUUAAUACCGUAUGAGGUCACAUGCGGGCAUCUAAUUGUGACGAAAGGUUUAGCGGUGAAGGAUGGGGAUGCGUCUGAUUAGCUUGUUGGUGAGGUAACGGCUCACCAAGGCGACGAUCAGUAGGGGGUUCUGAGAGGAAGGUCCCCCACAUUGGAACUGAGACACGGUCCAAACUCCUACGGGAGGCAGCAGUGAGGAAUAUUGGUCAAUGGGCGAGAGCCUGAACCAGCUAAGUAGCGUGCAGGACGACGGCCCUAUGGGUUGUAAACUGCUUUUAUAAGGGAAUAAAGUGAGUCUCGUGAGACUUUUUGCAUGUACCUUAUGAAUAAGGACCGGCUAAUUCCGUG
This 502-nucleotide ribosomal RNA is filed under the name uncultured bacterium. RNAcentral's name for it is "bacterial SSU rRNA". It matches the Rfam family "Bacterial small subunit ribosomal RNA", at positions 17 to 507 of the family's 1533-position model. The record is from RNAcentral.